UACGAAGGGUGCAAGCGUUACUCGGAAUUACUGGGCGUAAAGCGUGCGUAGGUGGUUCGUUAAGUCUGCCGUGAAAGCCCCGGGCUCAACCUGGGAAUGGCGGUGGAUACUGGCGGACUAGAGUGCGGUAGAGGGUGGUGGAAUUCCCGGUGUAGCAGUGAAAUGCGUAGAGAUCGGGAGGAACACCAAUAGCAAAGGCAGCUCGCUGGGACGUUACUGACACUGAGGCGCGAAAGCGUGGGGAGCGAACAGG
Molecule: ribosomal RNA, 253 nt
Filed under: uncultured bacterium
Lineage: Bacteria
Description: partial 16S ribosomal RNA
Rfam family: Bacterial small subunit ribosomal RNA
Source: RNAcentral